GAGGGUAGAGCUGAGGGGUAGAGCACAUGCUUAGCAUGCACGAGGGUCCUUGGUUCAAUCCCCAGUACCUCCA
Molecule: transfer RNA, 73 nt
Filed under: Camelus bactrianus (Bactrian camel)
Lineage: Eukaryota; Metazoa; Chordata; Mammalia; Artiodactyla; Camelidae
Also listed under: 3 other names
Rfam family: tRNA
About the family: Transfer RNA (tRNA) molecules are approximately 80 nucleotides in length. Their secondary structure includes four short double-helical elements and three loops (D, anti-codon, and T loops).
Source: Rfam by way of RNAcentral